CGCACGGCUCCAGGUGGGUCCCGCACUCCGGGGAUGGGCUCAGCUGUGCGGGGUGGGCAGCGGGAGCGGAUCGCCAGCACCUGGGGCGGGGAAGGGGCGUAAAAACCAGCAGGUGGAGGCACCGCCCCUUCCCCUGGGCUCCCCUCGGUCCGUGGAGCUUUGCUUUUGCUCUGAGGAGCUCUCUCGUGGUUUCUCUGGUGACGUCGGUUGAGUUGCAGUGCGUGGCCUUGCUAGCAGCUCAUGUGCGUGCAGAUAUAACACAGCUGAGGAUGUGCUGAGGGAGAGUGCACAACUGAGCACAAAAGAUCUGGGCGAAAGAGCACGUGCUGCAGCUGAACUCCUAAAGCCCUCUCCAAACCAGAGGCUAAGCUAAUGAUGAGACAUGAAGACCGUUUAGAGACAGCACGACUCCAGCAAUCCAUGAGAACAAUGCAAAGUUCAAAAAUAGCAGUAUCGACUGGUGGAAAAACAACAUACAUAUAAUUUUCAGGUAAUUACUAUAGUAUAAUUAGCUCUCUUGUUUUCCUAAGAGCCGGCUGAAAUGAACUGUGCUUGCUGCUCGAGCUCAGCCUUAUUUACAGUGUUCCCAGGACUAAAGCGAUCCUUUAAAAAAUCGAGAUUAGGUAAAAAAAAUAAAGACAGGAGUGCUUAGUAGGAGAUAGCAUCUCCGUGCUGUGGGUGGAGGCUGGCUGCUGGCGUCUCCGUCAGCAUUUCACCCGGCUCUGCUCCCAGCCUCAUUAGACGACAUCAGAGCUGAAGGACUGCAGCACAGAUGCAAAAUCUGCUCCUGUGCUAUCUGUGUUACUUCCCUGCGUGGUCUUAUGGGGGCAAGAGAGCUGGAAAACGGUACGAUGUGGGGAGGAAAGAGGCUCAGACUGUAGCAUGCCUCUAUCUUUUUCCAGAUCGCUGCCUGUGACCGAUGCCCUGUGCAAAAUUGUUACAAAACAGGACUGUGUGGAAGUGCUGCAUUUCACAUGUACAGUGCAGUGGGAGUGCAAAGAGGGGGAGCAACGUAGCACUGUAACAGGGAUUUACUCUCAGAGUUCUGGAAAAUGUAGUUCCUUGAGCUCUUUAAUUUUUUUUUUUCUCUGCCACAGAACUUUCCUUGUUAGGAAUUAUUUGGUAUCUGUAGAAUGUAACUUCUUGUGUGAGGAAGCCUUGCAGUCUUAAUUGAAAUCACUAGUAAUCAAAAUGGAAGAGUUUGUCCAAAACGAAAAGCUUGGUUUUGUUGGUGUUGUAAGUCUGCAUGGUUUAUUACAAACCCGCCCCACCUCUCUGAAGGUACUUGGAAGCAGAAAACUUUCUGCAGUUUCCUGUCUUUGGGUUUGGGUUGUCCUUGGCCCGGGGAGGACAUGGCUGUGGCACAGAGCUGCACUCUCCAUGGCCCAAGGUGAGCCGGCCGCAGUGCUUUCUGCUCCUUGUUCCCCAUCUACGUGCUGUGAAAAUGGGUGCUAAUGGGGAAAAAUCACAAUUGUGACUCAGUGAGGUGGAAUUUUGUUGACAAAAUCUGAAUUCAGCUCAGCCAAAGGAAAUGCUUUUGCAAGUGUAGAUGAAUAUCUCAAGAAUGACCAUUAAUUCUAGCUUUCUUGGGGAAGAAAAAGAAGAGCGGAAAGAAAGGAAAAAAGAAGAUGGACAUUCAAAUCCAUUUUCUCACCAGAGAAAGGUGAGCAAAUGUACACGCAGAAACAGAUUCAUUCCUUGGGGCAGUUAUUUUCUGAGAUAAAACUUACAGGGGUUACCUUGGGUAAGUUAAACCAGUGCUGGGAGGGUUUGGCAGGAAGGUAGGAUGCGGCUGCCUUCUUAGCUAGGAUGGUGUGUAACGUGUGUGCCUCAUCUCAAUACAGAAGGCAGUUCUCCUAUCGCACAGUAUCAUCCAGUGCAAUCGAGUUUUGAAUCAUAGAAUCAUUAAGGUUGGAGAAGACCUCUAAGAUCACGCAGUCCAACUGUCAGAUCAUCCCCACCAUGCCCGCUAACCACGUCCCUCAGUACCACAUCCAUGCAGUUCUUGAACUCCUCGAGGGAUGAUGAAUCCACCAUCUCCCUGGGCAGUCUGUUCCAAAAUAUCAGCAAGGCUGAACGAAUGUAUUUUCACGUGAGCGCUCUGCAGCAGUGGUCAUCCAGCCUUUAUUUUUCUUCCCACAUCGUGCUUUAUGAAGGUGUUAGACUUACAGGGUUUGAGCAGGAGGGAACCUCCUCUCCUGGGGAACCAUAGGAAGACCCCGUCCUGUCCAUCCUCACUGAAAACCACCUCUAUUUGACAUCACCACUACUUAAUUUUGACACAGUCCGUGUAUAGAAUAGCUUAACUCCAAAGGGCGGGCCUUAAGAACAUUAGCAGGGCGCUAUGAGCCAGCAGAUAUUGCCCAUUGGUAGUAGGGAGGAAAAGGCUAAGCAAAUAGUUUUAAAGAAUGGGCUAAUUGUGUGCCUAUUGCCAUUGUCCUGCAGCUGCAGUGCUUUGUAUGGCAGCAAAGUGCACGGGGAGCCAAGCUUGGCUUGGCAUCCAUAACUCCAGCCUGGGAAUACAAUAUACAGGGCAUGCAAGUAUCAGAGAGGACAAUUAGAAAUUUUGAAAGAUUAAACACAAAAUUGCAAUGGAAAAAGAGUUUGUAUAGCAGCCAAGGCAGGCUUUGAGGGCUUGGUGUUGUAAAAUGCACUCAUGUGUACAGUAAGAAGGCAAGUUGAUAUUUAGGAACUGAAAAAACAGGAAACAUGCAGAUGAGGCUCGUAUGUGUCACACUGUAACGCUGCAUGUGUAAUUAAAGAUGAUAGUAACUCAUUUACAUGUGCUUUCCAUCCUGCAAUAACACUGUUCUAUCAGCAGGCCUAAGGACAUAAAACAGGUAACCUUAACAGAACGGUUCAGAUUUUUUCCCUAAUUUAGGAUUUUAGGUGGUUAGCUCUCUGUGCAUUUUAAUAACACAGGCACCAGUGAUGUAAUUAAUGCUCUUACCUAAAUAAGUACCAGCCUUUAUUUUGGGCCUAAUUUGAGAUGGUGGUAAUGUAACAUUGCACUUAGCUGUGCAUUCAGGGGAGAUGUGUGCACCAGCUGAGUUUCAGUUACUUUACAUUGCUGAACUUACUGAAUAGCACGUGGAGCCAUUCCAUGUACGUUGUAUAUAAAGAAUUAAAAGAAUCUAUUCUAUCACUUGACAUGCUGGCUACUCCAUUCUGC
Molecule: long non-coding RNA, 3172 nt
Organism: Gallus gallus (chicken)
Lineage: Eukaryota; Metazoa; Chordata; Aves; Galliformes; Phasianidae
Source: Ensembl